This 2049-nucleotide long non-coding RNA is filed under the name Homo sapiens (human). Its description in RNAcentral is "HSALNT0400683". The record is from RNAcentral. Lineage: Eukaryota; Metazoa; Chordata; Mammalia; Primates; Hominidae.
UCGGCCCCCCAAAGUGCUGAGAUUACAGGCGUCAGCCACUGCAUCUGGCCCAAAAUGUCCUUAUUUCAAAAGAAUACCAUGAGGAUUCAAAUUAAUACAUGUAAAGGUCUUAGAAUUGUGCAUGGCACAUAGUUAACUUUGAGUAAAUGUCUGGUUUAUUGUUCUUACUAGUAGACCAUGGCUCAGCUUGUGUCUCGGAGCCUUCUCUAUGGCUUACAAGGGCCUGCAGGGUUUUCUCAGCUUCACCUAGGGCCAGGCUGCUUCAUUCCUCACAUGCCAUGUUCUGUUCAGACUCAGGACCUUUGCCCACACUGGUGCUUCUACCAAGCUCUGUCCCACUUAUCUCUGAGGUCUUAAUCCACAGGUCACUUUCUCAAGGAGCCUAGCUGCUCACUUCUUCCCCCAUCUGACCAUGGGCUCUGUCCCCUAGGCCUUGCCCAGUGCUGGGUCCAGAGAAGGUGCUGAAGAGUCUGGCUGAGUGUUGGACAGAGAGGAGGGAAGAGAAGAAAGGCCAGUUCCCACUCUCUUCAUCCCUUUCCUCACUGCCUGGCAAAACUAGAAAGAGGCCCCAAUAUAGCAGAUCAGUGCUGGAUGCUGUGGGGAAGAGAGUACUGGGCUGACAGUCAGUGGAUGUGGAUUUUGUUUCCCAGUUCCAUCGCUGAUUUGCAGGUGAGUCCUUUCCCCUGCCUGAGACUCUGGGAAAGUAUGGGCCUUUCCCCAACUGUCAAAUGAAGUGGGAAUCAUCUCAAAGGGCUCCGUCUAGGGCUACAGCAUAAGGAGAAUGAAAGUAACUCAUGCAGACAGAUGAGUGACUACCAGGGUUCUCUCUCUCAGGGGUAUCCAAAAGAUCCAGUAAUUAGUGUGUAAAUUGAGAAGCAACAUUCUGAAGUAGGAGAACUUGUUGCCACAAAGGAGUCUGAUCCUUCUCCACCUCAAAGCCCGCUGGGCAUUGCUCUGAACCUGCAGGAUUCCAGGGGAAGAGAGCAAUAGGCACAUCUAUGACCAGGCAGACUCCUGGGCAAGGCUAGAUCUUUCCACGCUCUAGCUCCUGUGGCCUCGACCUCUUCACCCCAGCACCGCCUCCAACUAGUCCAGACAAGUCCCAAGUAUUUUCAGCCACCUUUAUCUGAUCAGAAAUGUUUGGAAUUCCACAGCAGAAGGCAACAGCUCUGGAGGAUUUGGGGAAGGGAGCAAAUCCCUGCAACACCCUUCUCUCCCCACUGUACAGAUGAAUGCUCACACCCCAUGUAACCAAAAACUCAGGGCUGAAGGCACCCACGGUGUUGCAUUUCCUUCUAUUCUGUGAUGUGAUGGAACUGGGAAACAAAACCCACAUCCACUGACUGUCAGCCUCAUACUCUUCUCUGCAGCAUCCAACAUUGAUCUGCACCAGACAAGGGAGUGGGUUCCUUCUUGUUUUCUACCCUAUUCAUUUCUGCCCCAGUCCAUUACCCCUUUAAGGUGCAGAACAGUAAGAUGCCUGAGAUGGUGAGAAGAGGGCUAGGGUACUUUGCCUGAUGUCGAGGGAGGGGGCACCCAGAGGUGUGCUGUUCACAGUCAAUACCCAGAGCACCACCACCAGGAGGCCUGGAAGCAACUCACUGUCCCACUUGAUGUGGCCUGUGGACCACCAGAAAUUUCAGAGCGUCACAGAGAUGUGUGGUUCGAUCCUGAGCAGACAUGGAUGGUCACAAAGGUGAAUUCACUUGCUCAAGAUCCAACACACACAAAAUGGAGGUGGUUCAAACCCAGGUGUGUCUGACUGCAGAGCCUGUGUUCUUCCCAGUAGAGAUGUGGAUGCAGCACAAAUGGUAGAAAGGACCUGAGACUUAGUCAGAAGACCUCAGUUCACCCAAGGGUUGCUACCAUCUCUGACCCUUUGUCUUUGGAUGCUGUUAAGCUAAAAGCGGACCAGGAUCCAUGAUGAGGUUCCUCUAUCCUCUGGGUUAAGUCUGUCCAGGUAAAAUAAUAGGGAAAGAAGAAUACCAUUAAAAUAAAAAUUGGCUGGACACAGUGGCUCAUGCCUGUAAUCUCAGCACUUUGGGAAGC